UUGAAAUCUGUCAUUCUCAUGUAUAAUAAUUGAUCUUGGAAUUAUAAAUAAUCGUUGCUUCGUUCUCGAACGAAUAUUUCAAGUAAAAGAAAAAAAAAAUAAAAAAAUAACACCAAAUAAAAAUUUUAAUGUCCGAUAUAUCCAACAAAAGUCCAACAAAAUUUAAUUUAUACAUCGUAUGGAAGCGGGUACUUCAACACGAACGGCCACGAACAGGAACCGAGUAUACCUACACCAAUUAAAUGAAUAAGUGAACAAAUACUCUAAUAGUUAAAUUAAUAAGCAAAUAAAAAAAAGAAGAAAAAAAGGGAGAGAAUGGUAUGAUAGAAUCAAGUAAUAUCAGCAUCAUUAAAUGUUGCAUUAAUUGAAUGGCCGAAGAAAUCAUAUCAAAUUAUAUCCUAAAAUCAUAUCCUAUCCUCUGACAGAGCAUAUCCUAAAAUCAUAUUGUAAAAUCAUAUCCUAUUCUGUAAUAUUUUAAAAGAUAGGUCUCCACUUGCAUCUUAUCACUUGCAUAUUAUUCUUGCAAGAUACGCCACUUGCAUCUUUCAUGUAUAUGUACAUAUAUACAAAUCUUUUUGUCUCACCCACAUCACCAUCAAAUUCUAAGUUCUCAACACACCCCAACCCAACAUGAAUAGAGGAAGGAGAGUUGCAGAUAAUUGUAAGAUCAAGUCCUCAAUCCAACAACACUUUAUUCCACAUAAGAAGCGAUGGCGGAUCCGCGACGACGGCUGCGUUGGUGGAACCUCGGCGGCGGCGUGAGGCUGGACCGGGAGAGAGAGAGGGGGAGCGUGCAGACGGCGGACUUCCGGGAGAAGGGCGACAGCAGCAGCCUGACCCGGCGGGGACAGCAGCAGCUCCUCCGGCGUUCGACGGAGGCGGAUCCGCGGCUCCGGCAGAUCCGCGAGGCGGCUCCGGCAGAUCCGCGAGGCGGCGCCGGCAGAUCGGGGGAGAGAGAGAGAGAGAAGGCAGCGGCGUACGGUGAAGAGGGAGAGAAGAGAAAGGGAGAGAUGAGGAGGAGGAAGAGAACACCGUCGGAGACGAAAACGGAAGCGGAGGCGGUGCCGGUGGGGUGGCUGGUCGACGAAUAGAAGAGGGAGUUUUUUUUCCUAAUUUUUGUGCAAUUUGGGGAUUUGGCAGAGAGGGACAAACCGACGGGUUUGGUGAUAAGGAGUAUAGGCUUUAUGCCUUCUUAAUUAAUUGGAAUUGGGCCAUUAAAAUAGUGAAUUCAUUUUAGUUUUUGGGCCAAGGAAAUUCAUCAUGAAUGGGCCUAUCCAUGGAGUAUGAGAUAUACAUUAAUUAAUUGUUGGGCCACUUGAUGGAAUUAAUAAUUGGGCUGGAAAUGUUUUAAAAGAGAGUGGAGGAAAGGUCAAUAAAAUCGUUUUGGGCCGAGAUUUAA
Long non-coding RNA from Salvia splendens (bonfire salvia), 1399 nucleotides. RefSeq lists it as uncharacterized. Lineage: Eukaryota; Viridiplantae; Streptophyta; Magnoliopsida; Lamiales; Lamiaceae. The transcript has 2 exons. The record is from RefSeq and is a predicted model, not a curated record.